CCUACGGGAGGCAGCAGUGGGGAAUAUUGCACAAUGGGGGAAACCCUGAUGCAGCGACGCCGCGUGAGUGAAGAAGUAUUUCGGUAUGUAAAGCUCUAUCAGCAGGAACGAGACAAGACGGUACCUGACUAAGAAGCCCCGGCUAACUACGUGCCAGCAGCCGCGGUAAUACGUAGGGGGCAAGCGUUAUCCGGAAUCACUGGGGGUAAAGGGAGCGUAGACGGCUGAGCAAGCCUGAAGGGAAAGGGGGGGGCCCAACCCCCGGACUGCUUUGGGAACUGUACGGCUGGAAUGCAGGAGAGGUAAGUGGAAUUCCUAGUGUAGCGGUGAAAUGCGUAGAUAUUAGGAGGAACACCAGUGGCGAAGGCGGCUUACUGGACUGUAACUGACGUUGAGGCUCGAAAGCGUGGGGAGCAAACAGGAUUAGAUACCCUUGUAGUC
RNAcentral lists this ribosomal RNA (441 nucleotides) under uncultured bacterium. Its description in RNAcentral is "partial 16S ribosomal RNA". It matches the Rfam family "Bacterial small subunit ribosomal RNA", at positions 338 to 795 of the family's 1533-position model. The record is from RNAcentral.